Monodelphis domestica (gray short-tailed opossum) is the source of this 341-nucleotide long non-coding RNA. RefSeq lists it as uncharacterized. NCBI's taxonomy places the organism in Eukaryota, Metazoa, Chordata, Mammalia, Didelphimorphia, Didelphidae. The record is from RefSeq and is a predicted model, not a curated record.
GUCACUUAUGUACAGAAUUCAAGAAUUCAGACUUGCCUCCAAUGAAAGUAAGAAUUUCUAAGAGGCGUGGCACAAAGGGGAAGAUAAGAGGAAAAAUGUAUUAUCUGAAAUGCUUACCCAGCUCCUUCCUGUAAGUGCCAUUCUAUUCUGUCAGAGACUAUCUUUGGGCUGCCAAUCAACUUUAGGAAAUAGCAGGGAGCCUGUUGCUCUGGGCACUCAGGAUAUCCAUUAUUGGCUAGAUAAGGUAGAUUUGGCAUUUUUCCAGAAGUGACUAUCAAAGGGAAAUCUGAAGAAUAAAAUUUAAAUGGAGACUUUAAAAACUAAUAAAUUUGCAAAGAUGA